UUGUGUGCACCCCCAGCUUUUGUAGCUGGUGGCCAGCAACCGUUUGCAAUGCCAAGCCAUAUCCCUCUUUUGCAACCUCCUAUCCCUGCUAACCGGCCCGUUCCAGUUCCAGGAUCUAAUGCUCUGUUCGGUUAAGCUCAUUCUAUGCGGAAUUGCCAAUGUCAGACCUAUGGAGUGUUUUUUC
Molecule: long non-coding RNA, 184 nt
Organism: Hevea brasiliensis (rubber tree)
Lineage: Eukaryota; Viridiplantae; Streptophyta; Magnoliopsida; Malpighiales; Euphorbiaceae
Exons: 2
Source: RefSeq, a predicted model, not a curated record